RNAcentral lists this transfer-messenger RNA (379 nucleotides) under Helicobacteraceae. Its description in RNAcentral is "Helicobacter_D valdiviensis Standard tmRNA". It matches the Rfam family "transfer-messenger RNA". Rfam says of the family: Bacterial tmRNA, also known as 10Sa RNA or SsrA, is named for its dual tRNA and mRNA-like properties. Its role is to liberate the mRNA from a stalled ribosome. To accomplish this part of the tmRNA is used as a reading frame that ends in a translation stop signal. RNAcentral also lists the same sequence under 1 other name. Lineage: Bacteria; Pseudomonadati; Campylobacterota; Epsilonproteobacteria; Campylobacterales. The record is from RNAcentral.
GGGGCUGACUUGAAUUUCGACAGGAAUUAAAUGGCUUAAAUUGCAUGCCGACUUGUGCUAAGUCGUAAAACUGGUUCAUAAAUAUAAACGCAAACAACGCAAAUUACGCUCCAGCUUACGCUAAAGCUGCGUAAGUUUAUCUAAGCUUUUUGGAGCUGUUUUUGGUUAAGAUUCUAGCUAUUAGCCAAAAACAUCAUUUCUGCUAGAUGCGUUUUGUGCCACCUUUGCACAAAAUUAAGCUCUUAAGAGGUUGCCUUUUUGUAGUAAAUAGCUAGGUUUUUGCUAUAAAAGGAAAGAUUUUCCACCUAGCAAAAGCAUGUAAUCCAAUUUUUGUUGGUUUGGUUUUUGGACUGGGGUUUGAUUCCCCACAGCUCCACCA